Molecule: long non-coding RNA, 2458 nt
Organism: Ailuropoda melanoleuca (giant panda)
Lineage: Eukaryota; Metazoa; Chordata; Mammalia; Carnivora; Ursidae
Exons: 3
Source: RefSeq, a predicted model, not a curated record
GGAUGGGAAGGGGGCUCGCGGGGGCCGGGGGCUCAGGGGGGGAGUGAUGGCUGAUGGGGGCUUUUAGGGGGGUGAGAAUGUUCGGGAACUAGGCUGAGGUGAUGGUUGCACAAUUUUGCAAAUGUGCCAAAUACCACAGAACUGUUCGCUUCGGGCGCGUGACGUGUAGCACGCCAGUGGUACCGGACGGACGGGGCUCAGCAGCUGCGAGAGCCAGCCCGUGGCCCUGUCAGCCUGGACGGGGCGCAGGUGCCAGCCAGGGCCGGCCACGCUUCCUGGCCACGGCAGGUCAGUGGCAGAGAGCUCUGUGCACAAACACAGAGCAGGAAGCCGGGGAGCAUGUGAGAGUCUGCCACGCCGCAGAUCGAGAGCUGAGCCGGGGACCGUGCUUUGAAAAAUACCGGCAACAGGAAACAAGGCAUUCUAGAAAACACCUCGCUCACAGGAGGCGCUGGGGGGAGCAUGAAGUCAGCAGCAGCCCCCAUGCUCUGCCGUGGCUGACCUCCGGAGCCAGGAACAUCCCCUUACAGCCUUUGCACCUGGCAGCGGUUCUGUCCCAGGGGUCACGGGGCCAUGUCUGGGGACGUCUGUGGUUGUCACAAUGCGGUGCUCCUGGUGUCCAGUGGCUGGGGCCAGCGGGGCUGCUCAGCCCGCACGGUGUCUGAGACGCCCUCGAGAAUGAUCCAGCAUGCUGGGGGGACAGACCCUGGUCUAGAGAGACUCUCGCCAGGUGGGUGCAGGAGGAAACAUCUAGAAUGUUCUAGGAGUACCGUCUCUACGGAUGAACAGCUCCAAGCACCUUCACAUCCUCAAAGGCCACCUGAUCUGUGUUCCUGUCAUGUGAUGGAGCAUGACCCAGCAGUCACACCGCGGGAUUCAAGGGCCUCACUUCCCCUUCGUGAGAGGAAGCUCGAGGGCUCUCAGGACCCCCCUCCUGGUGGUCGUGCCCUUGGGAGCCAGAUCCUGCCACCACGCACGGAAGGCUGAAAGCGGCUCGGGGGAGACGCCGGCCCCGCAGACACCUUGCCAGCAGCCUGAGCGGGGACCCAGCGAAGCAGGGCCUGACUCCGACCCCUGGGAACCGUGAGACAGCAGACGCGUGCCGCCGCAGGGGUUUUGUUUUGGUGACUUGUUACGCAGCAGGAGCUGACGGACACGGCUACCUCGUUCUCAGCAACAAACGCUAACGGGGCAGCUCGGGGAGCUGUGUGUGUGUGAGCUCUCCUUCACGCAGUGCCGGCUGAGCUUCAGACUGUGACCCCCCCUCCCCCGCUCCCCAAGGGCUCUUCCCUGCACCUCCAGGCUGUCCCCCGGCUCCGGAGGCGUUCAGCAGAAGGCGCUGUAUGCUCCAGCGGCUGAGACUUUAACGUUUGGCUCAUCUUUUCUGCUUUUACUGCUGUGGUGGAGCCCUGACAGGUAUUUUCUGGUUCUUAUCUAUUUUAUUUAUUUUAGUUUUAAAGAUUUUAUUUAUUUAUUAGAGAGAGAGAGCGCACAAGCGGGGAGCAGCAGGCAGAGGGAGAAGCAGGCUCCCCGCUGAGCAGGGAGCCCGACGUGGGGCUCGAUCCCAGGACCCUGAGAUUAGGACCUGAGCCGAACACAGACGCUUCACCGACGGAGCCCCCCAGGCGCCCCUGCUUUUAUGUUUUAAAUUCACCAACAAGGAGUGAGUCUGAGGAACCGGAGGCCCCCACCCUCGACCCCGUUAAAAGCAGAACGCCAGGCCUGUGCUCCCUCCCUCCCCACGGUGUGUGAACUCGGCGUGCCGUGGACUUUCCAGGUCCUGUGGGGAAUGCAUCUGUUUUGCAGGGUUUCCUGAUGGUUGUUGCUGAACAGCGUCUUGUGAUGAUAAGAACCGUCAGGACCCGUCCAGCCACGACGUUGGCUAUGGGCGGGCUGAGAGCAGCACGGCACGCACCAUUCUGGUUAGAGGCGGCAGCGUGUACAAUUUUUGCGUUAUUUGGAUAGAAAUCACACACUGUUACGCUGGAAGUGCACAGCUCGGGGCUGUACGUUCAGAGCUGUGCAAGCAUCACCGCUGCCUUUGUUUGAAACGAAGAAAGUGUGAAGGCUUUGGUUUGACACCUCUGUGAGGUUCUCGUGUUUUAACCGGAGAGUCAGCCUGUAUCUCCACUCCAGGUGGGGGCCCACUUUUUCUGUAAAAGCCUGGACUGUCUCUUUUUAGCUCUCUGGGGCUAGGGGUCUCUUUCUAGCUGCUCCGCUCUGCCACUGUAGUGAAAGAGUGCCCCAGAUCCCAGGCAGAUGAAUGAGCAGAGCUGUGUGCCAAUAAAGCUUUAUUUAUAAGCUCCAUUUAGCCACUGAUCCAUGACCCGUGUGUUUAAUUUCCGGGACCUAAUCUUGUGUUAUGCUUUAAAAUAGUCAUCCCUGGGGCGCCUGGGUGGCUCAGUUGAGCAUCCGGCUCUUGAUUUCAGCUCAGGUCAUGACCUCAGGGUUGUGGGAU